ACACUAUAGAUGGUGAACUGUCAGGGCAGGGCAAAGCCAACGGGAAACUCUGGUGGAGGCCCACCGUGGUCCUGACAUGCAAAUCAGUCACCCGACCUGGGCAUAGGGACAAAACCAUCUAGUAGAUGG
Danio rerio (zebrafish) is the source of this 129-nucleotide non-coding RNA. NCBI's taxonomy places the organism in Eukaryota, Metazoa, Chordata, Actinopteri, Cypriniformes, Danionidae. The record is from Rfam.